This 253-nucleotide ribosomal RNA is filed under the name uncultured bacterium. RNAcentral describes it as "partial 16S ribosomal RNA". It matches the Rfam family "Bacterial small subunit ribosomal RNA", at positions 524 to 776 of the family's 1533-position model. The record is from RNAcentral.
GACAGAGGAUGCAAGCGUUAUCCGGAAUGAUUGGGCGUAAAGCGUCUGUAGGUGGCUUUUCAAGUCCGCCGUCAAAUCCCAGGGCUCAACCCUGGACAGGCGGUGGAAACUACCAAGCUGGAGUACGGUAGGGGCAGAGGGAAUUUCCGGUGGAGCGGUGAAAUGCAUUGAGAUCGGAAAGAACACCAACGGCGAAGGCGGCUACCUGGACCAGCACUGACACUGAGGCACGAAAGCGUGGGGAGCAAACAGG